RNAcentral lists this ribosomal RNA (440 nucleotides) under uncultured bacterium. RNAcentral's name for it is "partial 16S ribosomal RNA". It matches the Rfam family "Bacterial small subunit ribosomal RNA", at positions 338 to 795 of the family's 1533-position model. The record is from RNAcentral.
CCUACGGGUGGCAGCAGUGGGGGAUAUUGCACAAUGGGGGAAACCCUGAUGCAGCGACGCCGCGUGUGGGAAGACGGUCCUCUGGAUUGUAAACCACUGUCCCCAGGGACGAAGAUGACGGUACCAGGGGAGGAAGCUCCGGCAAACUACGUGCCAGCAGCCGCGGUAAUACGUAGGGAGCGAGCUGUGUCGGGAAUGACUGGGUGAAAGGGGAGCGUAGGCGGGGAUGCAAGGUGGUUGGAAAAACUACCGGCUCAACUGGGAGUCGCACUCAAAACUGGAGCUCUUGAGUGAAGUAGAGGCAGGCAGAAUUCCUAGUGUAGCGGUGAAAUGCGUAGAGAUUAGGAGGAACACCAGUGGCGAAGGCGGCCUGCUGGGCUUUUACUGACGCUGAGGCUCGAAAGUGUGGGGAGCAAACAGGAUUAGAUACCCUGGUAGUC